Molecule: ribosomal RNA, 301 nt
Filed under: uncultured bacterium
Lineage: Bacteria
Description: partial 16S ribosomal RNA
Rfam family: Bacterial small subunit ribosomal RNA
Source: RNAcentral
CAGUCGCCGCGGGAAUACGAAGGGGGCUAGCGUUGUUCGGAAUCACUGGGCGUAAAGCGCACGUAGGCGGACUUUUAAGUCAGGGGUGAAAUCCCAAGGCUCAACCUUGGAACUGCCUUUGAUACUGGAAGUCUUGAGUUCGGGAGAGGUGAGUGGAACUGCGAGUGUAGAGAUGAAAUUCGUAGAUAUUCGCAAGAACACCAGUGGCGAAGGCGGCUCACUGGCCCGAUACUGACGCUGAGGUGCGAAAGCGUGGGGAGCAAACAGGAUUAGAUACCCGCGUAGUCCCUGUCUCUUAUAC